AGUGAACGCUGGCGGUAGGCCUAACACAUGCAAGUCGAACGGCAGCACAGUAAGAGCUUGCUCUUACGGGUGGCGAGUGGCGGACGGGUGAGGAAUACAUCGGAAUCUACUUUUUCGUGGGGGAUAACGUAGGGAAACUUACGCUAAUACCGCAUACGACCUACGGGUGAAAGCAGGGGAUCUUCGGACCUUGCGCGAUUGAAUGAGCCGAUGUCGGAUUAGCUAGUUGGCGGGGUAAAGGCCCACCAAGGCGACGAUCCGUAGCUGGUUUGAGAGGAGGAGCAGCCACCAUGGAAUUGGAAACAGGGCCCGAACCCUACGGGAGGCAGCCGUGGGGAAUAUUGGACAAUGGGCGCAAGCCUGAUCCAGCCAUACCGCGUGGGUGAAGAAGGCCUUCGGGUUGUAAAGCCCUUUUGUUGGGAAAGAAAAGCGGCAGGUUAAUACCCCGCUGUUCUGACGGUACCCAAAGAAUAAGCACCGGCUAACUUCGUG
RNAcentral lists this ribosomal RNA (492 nucleotides) under uncultured bacterium. RNAcentral's name for it is "partial 16S ribosomal RNA". It matches the Rfam family "Bacterial small subunit ribosomal RNA", at positions 29 to 507 of the family's 1533-position model. The record is from RNAcentral.